Molecule: long non-coding RNA, 11670 nt
Organism: Oncorhynchus keta (chum salmon)
Lineage: Eukaryota; Metazoa; Chordata; Actinopteri; Salmoniformes; Salmonidae
Exons: 3
Source: RefSeq, a predicted model, not a curated record
ACACUCACACACACACACACACACACACACACACACACACACACACACACACACACACACACACACACACACACACACACACACACACACACACACACACACACACACACACACACACUCCCCUCUACACGCUCCCCACACACACCCUCAAACUCACAUUCCUCAAGACAUGCUCCGGAAAACACACACACACAAACCAGCUGGGGGAGGAAUCUGACCCUACGAUAACUCUAACAUCGUCCCUACACAAUGACAUCAUCCCUACACAACCUCUGCUAUUUUGUCUCGGUACAACAACAUGUGCUGUGUGAAGCCUGUGGAGUUUUGCGUUGGAACCUUCCAGAAGGACAACCAUCUCUGCAGCCCUCCACCAAUCAGGCAUUUACGGUAGAGUGGCCAGACGGAAGACACUCCUUAGAAAAAGGCAAAUGACAGCCCACAUGGAGUUUGCAAAAGGUACCUAAAGGACUCUCAGGUCAUGAGAAACAAGAUUCUCUGGUCUGAUGAAACCAAGAUUGGACACUUUGGCCUGAAUGCCAAGCGUCACAUACAGAAGAAACCUGGCACCAUCCCCACGGUGAAGCAUGGUGGUGGCAGAAUCAUGCUGUGGAGAUGUUUUUCAGCGACAGGGACUGGGAGACUAAUCAGGAUCGAGGGAAAGACGAAAAGAGCAAAGUACAGAGAGAUCCUUGAUGAUAACCAGCUCCAAAGCUUAGGACCUCAGACUGGGGCAAAGGUUCUCCAUCCAACAGGACAUCUCUGGAGAGAUCUGAAAAUAGCUGUGCAGCGAAGCUCCCCAUCCAAACUGACAGAGCUUGAGAGGAUCUUCAGAGAAGAAUGGGAGAAACUCCCCAAAUAUAGGUGUGCCAAGCUUUUUAAUACAUAUGCAAACAUUUCUAAACAUUUCUAAAAACCUGAUUUUGCGUUGUCAUUAUGGGGUAUUAUGUGUAGAUUGAUGAGGGGAAGAAACAAUUGAAUCCAUUUUAGAAUUAGGCGGUAACAUAACAUGUGGGAAAAGUAAAGGGGUCUGCAGUGUAUAUAGCUUGGAGCAACCGAAUGACAUUUAUGGUGAGUUUGGACAUUUACAAGCGAAUGUGAAUGAGAGACACUGUGCAAAUGAACAACGUUUUGACACAUGCUUGUCUGAGGUUAGAAGCAGCAUGUGAACUGUUGUGGAAAUUCUAAACAAUUGAGAGAGACUUUGUUAUUUCUUCAAACAAUCCAUCUUUAUUAAUAAGAAUUGCAAUAAUGAAGCUGGUCAGUCAUGCACCCUGAAGUGUAAGGCUAAGAGCUCGAUGACACAAUGAGUACAUGUAACAGUACUCUUCUGGCGUUGUGUACAUCAGUCAUCGACACGGAACUCCAAUAUGUAGCACCAAUCAUGUAGCUUUAUUCUGAUAAGAACGACACAAAAUUGCACGUCAUGCAAUGCCCGUCUCACCAUCCAACUCUGCACUCCCGCACGCUGGUUUGGUGCUUGUUCACUGGGACGAUUCUAACUGGAACAUCCCCCCUCGUAAGCAAGCUACGCAAACCAGCCAAUAAGAUGCCAUGUUGAGUAGGUGAAGGCAAGACAAACUCAAACCAAAAACCCAUUGGCUUAACAAUAAAGUGGCAAGGGGAAUCACCAAUAUAACCCUGUUACAUACAGAAGCCUUAUAUAGUCAAACUAUCUUACACAAGCACAUACAAAACAUUUUGGUAUGUGUUCAUGUAUGGUGAAUGAGACUAAACUAUGAUAGAAGGUGCAGACUAACUGUAAAUUGGUCGUCUCGUUCUGUAGCAACAGCUAGUUAUUCUACUCUUCUAGUGAGAUCUCAAAACAACAGCUAGUUAUUCUACUCUUCUAGUGAGAUCUCAAAACAACAGCUAGUUAUUCUACUCUUCUAGUGAGAUCUCAAAACAACAGCUAGUUAUUCUACUCUUCUAGUGAGAUCUCAAAACAACAGCUAGUUAUUCUACUCUUCUAGUGAGAUCUCAAAACAACAGCUAGUUAUUCUACUCUUCUAGUGAGAUCUCAAAACAACAGCUAGUUAUUCUACUCUUCAGGUGAGAUCUCAAAACAACAGCUAGUUAUUCUACUCUUCUAGUGAGAUCUCAAAACAACAGCUAGUUAUUCUACUCUUCUAGUGAGAUCUCAAAACAACAGCUAGUUAUUCUACUCUUCAGGUGAGAUCUCAAAACAACAGCUAGUUAUUCUACUCUUCUAGUGAGAUCUCAAAACAACAGCUAGUUAUUCUACUCUUCUUGUGAGAUCUCAAAACAACAGCUAGUUAUUCUACUCUUCUAGUGAGAUCUCAAAACAACAGCUAGUUAUUCUACUCUUCAGGUGAGAUCUCAAAACAACAGCUAGUUAUUCUACUCUUCUAGUGAGAUCUCAAAACAACAGCUAGUUAUUCUACUCUUCAGGUGAGAUCUCAAAACAACAGCUAGUUAUUCUACUCUUCUAGUGAGAUCUCAAAACAACAGCUAGUUAUUCUACUCUUCUAGUGAGAUCUCAAAACAACAGCUAGUUAUUCUACUCUUCUAGUGAGAUCUCAAAACAACAGCUAGUUAUUCUACUCUUCAGGUGAGAUCUCAAAACAACAGCUAGUUAUUCUACUCUUCUAGUGAGAUCUCAAAACAACAGCUAGUUAUUCUACUCUUCUAGUGAGAUCUCAAAACAACAGCUAGUUAUUCUACUCUUCUAGUGAGAUCUCAAAACAACAGCUAGUUAUUCUACUCUUCUAGUGAGAUCUCAAAACAACAGCUAGUUAUUCUACUCUUCUAGUGAGAUCUCAAAACAACAGCUAGUUAUUCUACUCUUCUUGUGAGAUCUCAAAACAACAGCUAGUUAUUCUACUCUUCUAGUGAGAUCUCAAAACAACAGCUAGUUAUUCUACUCUUCUUGUGAGAUCUCAAAACAACAGCUAGUUAUUCUACUCUUCAGGUGAGAUCUCAAAACAACAGCUAGUUAUUCUACUCUUCUAGUGAGAUCUCAAAACAACAGCUAGUUAUUCUACUCUUCUAGUGAGAUCUCAAAACAACAGCUAGUUAUUCUACUCUUCCAGGUGAGAUCUCAAAACAACAGCUAGUUAUUCUACUCUUCUAGUGAGAUCUCAAAACAACAGCUAGUUAUUCUACUCUUCAGGUGAGAUCUCAAAACAACAGCUAGUUAUUCUACUCUUCUAGUGAGAUCUCAAAACAACAGCUAGUUAUUCUACUCUUCUAGUGAGAUCUCAAAACAACAGCUAGUUAUUCUACUCUUCAGGUGAGAUCUCAAAACAACAGCUAGUUAUUCUACUCUUCUAGUGAGAUCUCAAAACAACAGCUAGUUAUUCUACUCUUCUAGUGAGAUCUCAAAACAACAGCUAGUUAUUCUACUCUUCAGGUGAGAUCUCAAAACAACAGCUAGUUAUUCUACUCUUCUAGUGAGAUCUCAAAACAACAGCUAGUUAUUCUACUCUUCAGGUGAGAUCUCAAAACAACAGCUAGUUAUUCUACUCUUCUAGUGAGAUCUCAAAACAACAGCUAGUUAUUCUACUCUUCUAGUGAGAUCUCAAAACAACAGCUAGUUAUUCUACUCUUCCAGGUGAGAUCUCAAAACAACAGCUAGUUAUUCUACUCUUCUAGUGAGAUCUCAAAACAACAGCUAGUUAUUCUACUCUUCAGGUGAGAUCUCAAAACAACAGCUAGUUAUUCUACUCUUCUAGUGAGAUCUCAAAACAACAGCUAGUUAUUCUACUCUUCUAGUGAGAUCUCAAAACAACAGCUAGUUAUUCUACUCUUCAGGUGAGAUCUCAAAACAACAGCUAGUUAUUCUACUCUUCUAGUGAGAUCUCAAAACAACAGCUAGUUAUUCUACUCUUCUAGUGAGAUCUCAAAACAACAGCUAGUUAUUCUACUCUUCAGGUGAGAUCUCAAAACAACAGCUAGUUAUUCUACUCUUCUAGUGAGAUCUCAAAACAACAGCUAGUUAUUCUACUCUUCAGGUGAGAUCUCAAAACAACAGCUAGUUAUUCUACUCUUCUAGUGAGAUCUCAAAGCAACAGCUAGUUAUUCUACUCUUCUAGUGAGAUCUCAAAACAACAGCUAGUUAUUCUACUCUUCAGGUGAGAUCUCAAAACAACAGCUAGUUAUUCUACUCUUCUAGUGAGAUCUCAAAACAACAGCUAGUUAUUCUACUCUUCUAGUGAGAUCUCAAAACAACAGCUAGUUAUUCUACUCUUCUAGUGAGAUCUCAAAACAACAGCUAGUUAUUCUACUCUUCUAGUGAGAUCUCAAAACAACAGCUAGUUAUUCUACUCUUCUAGUGAGAUCUCAAAACAACAGCUAGUUAUUCUACUCUUCUUGUGAGAUCUCAAAACAACAGCUAGUUAUUCUACUCUUCUAGUGAGAUCUCAAAACAACAGCUAGUUAUUCUACUCUUCAGGUGAGAUCUCAAAACAACAGCUAGUUAUUCUACUCUUCUAGUGAGAUCUCAAAACAACAGCUAGUUAUUCUACUCUUCUAGUGAGAUCUCAAAACAACAGCUAGUUAUUCUACUCUUCAGGUGAGAUCUCAAAACAACAGCUAGUUAUUCUACUCUUCUAGUGAGAUCUCAAAACAACAGCUAGUUAUUCUACUCUUCAGGUGAGAUCUCAAAACAACAGCUAGUUAUUCUACUCUUCUAGUGAGAUCUCAAAGCAACAGCUAGUUAUUCUACUCUUCUAGUGAGAUCUCAAAACAACAGCUAGUUAUUCUACUCUUCAGGUGAGAUCUCAAAACAACAGCUAGUUAUUCUACUCUUCUAGUGAGAUCUCAAAACAACAGCUAGUUAUUCUACUCUUCUAGUGAGAUCUCAAAACAACAGCUAGUUAUUCUACUCUUCUAGUGAGAUCUCAAAACAACAGCUAGUUAUUCUACUCUUCUAGUGAGAUCUCAAAACAACAGCUAGUUAUUCUACUCUUCUAGUGAGAUCUCAAAACAACAGCUAGUUAUUCUACUCUUCUAGUGAGAUCUCAAAACAACAGCUAGUUAUUCUACUCUUCUAGUGAGAUCUCAAAACAACAGCUAGUUAUUCUACUCUUCAGGUGAGAUCUCAAAACAACAGCUAGUUAUUCUACUCUUCUAGUGAGAUCUCAAAACAACAGGAAAUCAGUUCAGUUUCUCGGAAGAAAAUCAACGGUUUCCUGAAUGGGGUCAAGCAAACACUUUUUGCGGUCUGCCCAGAGGGUGUGUGGUUGCACACCCACACACACAUACACAAGCAUAAACUUCAAGAGAUCCUUCAACACAUUAGAAGUCAUAUAAACUGAAAGAGGUUAACAUAGAUUUUUUACUUGCGGUACAUGCUGUGUCUGUGUGGAGUCUGGAGUCGUUAGGGCAACAGUCCUGCCUGCUCUGCUCGAAGAAGAUGGGGCAAUAGCAGACGGGCCAAGAACGGAGAGGAGAAAAAACACCAUAAAAUCAAGAUAGCAGGCAGUUGUACAGAUUUCUCAAACACGGCAGAAAGCUAACACAAUAUGAUGCCCUGUCUCCUUAUUAAUUCAGCCACUUACUGAGAUAACUAGGAAGUUAAUGAGACGCAUUAAUGCAGAAUGCUGCGAUUUUCACUCAGACAAAAAUAUUAAACACAUAAGAAAUAUCUUGCUGCGUCUUGAAGACGCAGAUCUAAAGUGCUUCUUAUUGUCAUUUCUGCUCGGCAUCAGACACAUUUUGUGCUUCAGUUGCACUUCUCCACUCGGCUGACAGAGCUCUGACUAAUGUGUAGCUACUUUUCUUUCUCUGGUACUUUUCCAUAUAGACUAGUUUUCUCUGUUGGUUUUCCACAUAGACUAGUUUUCUCUGGUACUUUUCCAUGUAGACUAUUUUUUCCGGUAUAAUGCAAGAUUGACUUUAAGCAAAACUUUAGGAAAUGUAGCUAGAUACAUUCUGUCUAUGAUAAACAUUAGAAAUAUGAUGGCAAUGCAUCGUUUUUUGCCCAAAAUACCUUGCUUUUCAUUGUAAACUCAUUUACUUGUGUGGCUGCCAGACAAAUAGCAUUGUACUUCUGUUAUCAUCUGAUGAAAAUGAAGCUAUUUUCUGCUGAAUGUGUUGAAAAAAAAUGUAUACUGAACAAAAACAUAAACACAACAUAGAACAAUUUCAACUAUUUUACUGAGUUACAGUUCAUAGAAGGAAAUCAGUCAAUCGAAAUACAUUCAUUAGGCCCUAAUCUAUGAAUUUCACAUGACUGGGCAGGGUGGCAUCCAUGGGUGGGCCUGCGAGGGCAUAGCCCCCCCCCCCUUAAGAGCUAGGCCCAGCCAAUCAGAAUGAGUUUUAGUACAGACACAAAUACUCCUCAGUUUCAUCAGCUGUCUGGGUGGCUGGUCUCAGAUGAUCCCGCAGGUGAAGAAGCUGGAAGGGACGUCCUGGGCUGGCGUGGUUACACGUGGUCUGCGGUUGUGAGGCCGGGUUGGACGUACUGCCAUAUUCUCUAAAACAACGUCGGACGCGGCUUAUGGUAUAUAGACAAAGGCGGGUGGAUUAUCUUAUUCAAUUCUCUGGCAACUGCUCUGGUGGACAUUCCUGCAGUCAGCAUGCCAAUUGUGCGCUCCUUCAAAAUAUAGACAUCUGUGGCAUUGUGUUGUGUGACAAAUCUGCAUAUUUUAGUGGCUUUUUAUUGUCCCCAGCACAAGGUUUACCUGUGUAUUGAUUAUGAUGUUUAAUCAGAUUCUAACAGGGAUGUAAAAAAUAAAUACGCUUUUUGCAUUUUUUCUCUUAACCUAUUGUACAAGUUGACUGCAGGUAUUUACUUAAAAAGUAUCUACAGAUAUUAAAAUGUAUUGAAAAACCUCAAAGAAAUAGUUUAAACAGUAUUGAAAACCAAACCCCUAACUAUUUCCAAAUACCCCAUAUAUAUUUUAUUUAUUUAUUUAACUAGGCAAGUCAGUUAAGAGCAAAUGCGUAUUUACAAUGACGGCCUACCCCGGCCAAACCCUGACGAUGCUGGGCCAAUUGGGUGCCGCCCUAUGGGACUCUCAAUCACGGCCCGAUGUGAUAUAGCCUGGAAUCAAACCAGGGACUGUAGUGAUGCUUUUUGCACUGAGCUGCAGUGCCUUAGACCGCUGCGCAACUCGGGAGCCCUAUAGGGUAUAUACGGCAUACCGCCCAAGCCUAGUAACUGGUUAUCGUGUGUAGGAACUGCUUAUCGUGUGUGUAUAUAGCAAGCAGGGUUGUGGACAAUUCCAUUUAAAUUCCAAUCAAUUCAGAAUUAAACCAAAUUCUAAUUCCAAAUUUUCCUAAUUUAAAAGAAUAGAAAAUAAUUGGAAUUUCAGUAUACUUCCUGAAUUGACUGGAAUUGAAAUUAAGUUGACCCCAAGCCUGGUACACACAUAUUGUAUAUAUUCCAUAUAUAUUUUAUAUAGUGCCAAAUAGGGGUUUCUUUGGGUCCUAACGAUAGUAGAUCCCUUUUUCGUGCUGUAUAGAACCCUUUUUGAAAGGUUCUAUUAAGAAACAUGCUCAUACGGUUCUAAAUGGAACCUUUAUAGUGUUAUAAAGAACACUUUCCUGAGGCUCUAUAAAGAACAUGAGUCAUAUGUAACCAUCACUGGCCAUAGUCAUAUUUAACAUGUAAGGGCAUAACACAACUGAUAGACUGGAAUGACACGUUCACUCACAGUUGAAAAGGAGCCGUGAGCAAACCAAGCCCCAAAAUAUUUGAAUGAGCCGACACCCCUACAUUUUAAUUUUCACUAAAAGAGGAAAGAACCAAUUUUCAGAAAUGCAAAGAACCAUUGAAGGGCUCAAACAGUUAUUUGAGUCAUUAUGGUUCCACAUAGAACCACCAUCUAAAAAUAGCCCAUAUUAACAUAUGCAGCCUGAGGAACAAGUUCCAUGAAGUCAAUAACUUGCUUGUAACAGAUGACAUUCAUAUUCUGACAAUUUCUGAAACUCACAUAGAUAAUACCUCUGAUACAGUGGUAGCAAUACAUGAUUAUAACAUCUACCGAAAAGACAGAAAUGCCAACGGAGGUGGUUUUGCUGUUUAUAUUCAGAACCACAUUUCUGUAAAGCUUAGAGACGAUCUCAUGUUAAAUACUGUUGAAGUAAUAUGGCUACAGGUUCAUCUGCCUCACCUAAAUUACGCCCAUUCUUGUGGGAAGCUGCUAUAGACCACCAAGUGUUGACAGUCAGUAUCUGGAUAAUAUGUGUGAAAUGCUUGAUAAUGUAUGAGAUAUCAACAGAUAAGUAUAUUUUCUGGGUGAUUUAAAUAUUGACUGGCUAUCAUCAAGCUGCCCAUUCAGGAAAAAAACCAUAGUGUAACCAGUGCCUGCAAACUGGUUCAGGUUAUCAGUCAAUGUACCAGGGUAGUUACAAACAGCACAUGAAUUAAAUCAUCAACAUCUGUUGAUCACAUCUUCACUAAUGCUGCAGAUAUUUGCUUUAAAACCGUAUCCAGAUCCAUAGGAUGUAGUGAUCACAAUAUAAUAGCCAUAUCUAGGAAAACCAAAGUUUCAAAGUCUGGGCCUAAUAUUGUGUAUAAGAGGUCAUACCACAAGUUUUGUAGUGAUUCAUAUGUUGAUGAUGUAAAUAAUAUUUGCUGGUCUGUGGUGUAUAAUGAGGAGCAACCAGACACUACAUUUGACACAUUUAUGAAAUUGCUUAUUCCAGUUACUAAUAAGCACACACCCAUUAAGAAAAUGACUGUAAAAACUGUUAAAUCCCCUUGGAUUGAUGAGGAAUUGAAAAAUUAUAUGGUUGAGAGGGAUGAGGCAAAAGGUAUGACAAUUCAAUCUGGCAGCCCAACUGAUUGGCAAAUGUACUUCAAAUUUAGAACUCAUGUUACUGAACUAAAUAAAAAUAAAAAUAAACUAUACUAUGAAACAAAAAUCAAUGAUAGUAAAAUGCUUUGGAGCACCUUAAAUGACAUUUUGUGAAAAAAGGCUAACUCUCAUCAUUCAUGGAAUCAGAUGGCUCAUUCAUUCACACUUAGGUAUGACAUGUCAGCAACAAAAGCUGAUACUACACAUCCAAGUACAGUUGUAGUUGGAAGUUUACAUACACCUUAGCCAAAUACAUUUAAAAUCAGUUUUUCACAAUUCCUGACAUUUAAUCCUAGUAGAAAUUCCCUGUCUUAGGUCAGUUAGGAUCACCACUUUAUUUUAAGAAUGUGAAAUGUCAGAAUAAUAGUAGAGAGAAUUAUUUAUUUCAGCUUUUAUUUCUUUCAUCACAUUCCCAGUGGGUCAGAAGUUUACAUACACUCAGUUAGUAUUUGGUAGCAUUGCCUUUCAAUUGUUCAAACAUUUCGGGUAGCCUUCCACAAGCUUCCCACAAUAAGUUGGGUGAAUUUUGGCCCAUUCCUCCUGACAGAACUGGUGUAACUGGGUCAGGUUUGUAGGCCUCGCACAUGCUUUUUAAUUUCUGCCCAUACAUUUUCUAUAGGAUUGAGGUCAGGUCUUUGUGAUGACUUUGUUGUCCUUAAGCCAUUUUGCCACAACUUUGGAAGUAUGCUUGGGGUCAUUGUCCAUUUGGAAGACCAUUUGUGACUAAGCUUUAACUUCCUGACUGAUGGCUGAGAUGUUGCUACAAUAUAUCCACAUACAUUUCCUCCUCGUGAUGCCAUCUAUUUUGUGAAGUGCACCAGUCCCUCCUGCAGCAAAGCACCCCCACAACAUGAUGCUGCUUCAAGGUCGGGAUGGUGUUCUUCGGCUUGGAAGCAUCCUCAUUUUCUUCCAAACAUAACGAUGGUCAUUAUGGCCAAACAGUUCUAUUUUUGUUUUAUCAGAUCAGAGGACAUUUCUUUUGUACCUGUUUCCUCCAGGAAAUUCACAGGGUCCUUUGCUGUUGUUCUGGGAUUGUUUUGCACUUUUCGCACCAAAGUACGUUCAUCUCUAGGAGACAAAACCUGCUUCUCCUUCCUGAGCGGUUGGACGGCUGCAUGGUCCCUUGGUCUUUAUACUUGCGUACUAUUGUUUGUACAGAUGAACGUGGUACCUUCAGGCUUUUGGAAAUUGUUCCCAAGGAUGAACCAAACUUGUGGAGGUCUCCAAUUUAUUUUCUGAGGUCUUGGCUGAUUUAUUUUGAUUUUCGCAUGAUGUCAGGCAAAGAGGCACUGAGUUUGAAGGUAGGCCUUGAAAUACAUCCACAGGUACACCUUCAAUUGACUCAAAUGAUGUCAAUUAGCCUAUCAGAAGCUUCUAUAGCCAUUACAUACUUUUCUGGAAUUUUCCAAGUUGUUUAAAGGCACAGUCAACUUAGUGUAUGUAAACGUCUGACCCACUGGAAUUAUGAUACAGUGAAUUAUAAGUGAAAUAAUCUGUCUGUAAAUAAUUGUUGGAGAAAUUACUUGUGUCAUGCACAAAGUAGAUGUCCUAACCGACUUGCCAAAACUAUAGCUUGUUAACAAGAAAUUUGUGGAGUGGUUGAAAAACAAGUUUUAAUGACUCCAACCGAAGUGUAUGUAAACCUCCGACUCCAACUGUACAGUGCCUUGCGAAAGUAUUCGGCCCCCUUGAACUUUGCGACCUUUUGCCACAUUUCAGGCUUCAAACAUAAAGAUAUAAAACUGUAUUUUUUUGUGAAGAAUCAACAACAAGUGGGACACAAUCAUGAAGUGGAACGACAUUUAUUGGAUAUUUCAAACUUUUUUAACAAAUCAAAAACUGAAAAAUUGGGCGUGCAAAAUUAUUCAGCCCCUUAACUCUCUCCAGAAGUUCAGUGAGGAUCUCUGAAUGAUCCAAUGUUGACCUAAAUGACUAAUGAUGAUAAAUACAAUCCACCUGUGUGUAAUCAAGUCUCCGUAUAAAUGCACCUGCACUGUGAUAGUCUCAGAGGUCCGUUAAAAGCGCAGAGAGCAUCAUGAAGAACAAGGAACACACCAGGCAGGUCCGAGAUACUGUUGUGAAGAAGUUUAAAGCCGGAUUUGAAUACAAAAAGAUUUCCCAAGUUUUAAACAUCCCAAGGAGCACUGUGCAAGCGAUAAUAUUGAAAUGGAAGGAGUAUCAGACCACUGCAAAUCUACCAAGACCUGGCCGUCCCUCUAAACUUUCAGCUCAUACAAGGAGAAGACUGAUCAGAGAUGUAGCCAAGAGGCCCAUGAUCACUCUGGAUGAACUGCAGAGAUCUACAGCUGAGGUGGGAGACUCUGUCCAUAGGACAACAAUCAGUCGUAUAUUGCACAAAUCUGGCCUUUAUGGAAGAGUGGCAAGAAGAAAGCCAUUUCUUAAAGAUAUCCAUAAAAAGUGUCGUUUAAAGUUUGCCACAAGCCACCUGGGAGACACACCAAACAUGUGGAAGAAGGUGCUCUGGUCAGAUGAAACCAAAAUUGAACUUUUUUGGCAACAAUGCAAAACGUUAUGUUUGGCAUAAAGCAACACAGCUCAUCACUCUGAACACACCAUCCCCACUGUCAAACAUGGUGGUGGCAGCAUCAUGGGUUGGGCCUGCUUUUCUUCAGCAGGGACAGGGAAGAUGGUUAAAAUUGAUGGGAAGAUGGAUGGAGCCAAAUACAGGACCAUUCUGGAAGAAAACCUGAUGGAGUCUGCAAAAGACCUGAGACUGGGACGGAGAUUUGUCUUCCAACAAGACAAUGAUCCAAAACAUAAAGCAAAAUCUACAAUGGAAUGGUUCAAAAAUAAACAUAUCCAGGUGUUAGAAUGGCCAAGUCAAAGUCCAGACCUGAAUCCAAUCGAGAAUCUGUGGAAAGAACUGAAAACUGCUGUUCACAAA